CGAAGUAUAGCAUAUUAAAUGCCUCUUACUUACACUAAGAAAAAAAUGAACCUCAUUUACUUCGC
Molecule: transfer RNA, 65 nt
Filed under: Limnodrilus hoffmeisteri
Lineage: Eukaryota; Metazoa; Annelida; Clitellata; Tubificida; Naididae
Description: tRNA-Val
Source: RNAcentral